This 261-nucleotide long non-coding RNA is filed under the name Lathyrus oleraceus (garden pea). Its description in RNAcentral is "Pisum sativum (pea) long non-coding RNA (PSAT_LNC010494)". The record is from RNAcentral. Lineage: Eukaryota; Viridiplantae; Streptophyta; Magnoliopsida; Fabales; Fabaceae.
CAUUCACUUCAACAACUCUAUAGUAACUGUUUUCAUUCAUAUUUUUCUUCUCUUUUUUUUUCUUUUCAUAAGGAGUAUGUAUUGACAUGUAUACAUCCUUCUAUUUUUUUUCAUUCAUUUUUUUUAUUUCUUUUUCUACCAACUUCUGAAAUAUUACAAACAUAAUUAUUCAACCCCAUACAACUUCAAACAAGACUCUUUCAACCCUUUGAAUAGGGUGAUAUAACAUUGUUUUUCACUUCUCGGUUUGUAAUGAGUUUU